CCCAAAGCGCCUGCCCGCUCGCCCUGUCCCUGCGCCUCCGCCGCCUCCAGCUCCCAUGGACUCCCAGGACUGCCCCUGCGCCAGUGGCGGCACCUGCACCUGCGGGGACAACUGCAAGUGUAAGAACUGCAAGUGCACGGCGUGUAAAAAAGGCUGCUGCUCCUGCUGCCCGGCUGGAUGUGCCAAGUGCGCCCAAGGCUGCGUGUGCAAAGGGCCGCCCGCCGCCAAGUGCAGCUGCUGCAAGUAGGGCGCACGGGGAGCGCCCGCCCGCACGGCCACCACUAACUUUAUUGCCCGCGCUUUAUUUUUGUAUGUGCUCACAUAUCCUUAAUAUUUGUCCUGUGCGACACGUGAUAAGCUUCCUAAAUAAAGAUCCAUGUAUAUAAGUACCAAUAA
Nothoprocta perdicaria is the source of this 396-nucleotide long non-coding RNA. RefSeq lists it as uncharacterized. The record is from RefSeq and is a predicted model, not a curated record. The transcript is spliced from 3 exons. Lineage: Eukaryota; Metazoa; Chordata; Aves; Tinamiformes; Tinamidae.